This 1183-nucleotide long non-coding RNA is filed under the name Apis dorsata (giant honeybee). Its description in RNAcentral is "uncharacterized LOC102676638, transcript variant X1". Lineage: Eukaryota; Metazoa; Arthropoda; Insecta; Hymenoptera; Apidae. The record is from RNAcentral.
UUAAAAUCUGUUACAACCUAUUAUAAUAUUUGAUGCAUGUGAAAGAAGAUUAUCAAUUUCUUAUUUGACUAUUUCUUAUCAAGUUAGCUUAUGUUUCGUUACGAUUAUUCGGAGGAAAAAAAAGGAUACGAGUUUAAUAUUAUAAUCCAUGUGUACGUUAUUCAUCACGUGUCAACUUCGUUCUUACCGAUGGAUUGGGUGUUGUAUAUCAACUUGUACCAAUUACCCGUCUGCCCGACGGUUAAUUAAGGAUUGGGGCAAUGAGGCCCAGCAAUGCAGUUUCCGUGAUAAUAAUUAUCUACGAUGGUAAUUGAAUAGAUUGUUACGCCGUCGAGCAAAUCGAGACAUCGAAGAACCUAGAAUAAAAAAGAAUCAAGAAACUUUUGAUGUUUUAUUUAUGAUUACUCAUCUUUUAUCUGUAUGUUUUUGAAAUAUCGGUAAGGUGAAUAAUUCUGGUAGCAAAGUUAGUAAGAAGGGAACGCUUGGUGAGGCGAGCCUGCAGGCAAAACGGCUGGACGAGAUCAUGUAUGUGAACGUGAACAAGUAAUACGUUCAUAGACGAAGAAAAGAUGCCGAGGGAAACUGACCGUCGUCGUCCUGUACGCUGUAAAAAAGAGAAUACACGAGAUUUAUGUCGGCCCCCGGACUUUUCGUCACGCUUUGUUUAGGAUACGGUUUUAGUUUUGAGAAAACUCUUGGGGCUUCUUCCUUCUUUUUAAUUGCAACGGGUCAGUCUCAGUUGUUUAUUCAGCUCUGGGCCACUGGUAGUACAUAUAACACUGGCAACAAAAAUGAAGGGUAGAAAGCUCGAUUCGCCGAGGCAUGACCAACAGAGUCCUGCAAAAGCUCAUACAUAUGUAGACGACUCGGUCGGGACAUCAGGAACCAUGGGGAGGACCCUCCGGAAAAAUGAAUAUGCAGCCCCAUAAAAGUUUGUUCAUUCAUUCAUUCAUAAUGUCGCCAAGGACGAGACUUCUCUGGCUUGUAGAUUGUCAAGGUAGAAGGGACGAGUAGCAACCCUUCAUCGAAGGAGGUGGCGAAGGAAGAAAGAAGAAAGAGGUGAAGCUAGGAGGGGAAGGGAAAGGAAAGAACGAGGCUGAAUGCGGUGACUGUGACGCUUUCCGGUCAGGUGCCGCCCUGACGAUCCUUCUCCUACCAACUUCCACUUGGAUCCACUCAUUCA